UACGAAGGGGGCUAGCGUUGUUCGGAAUUACUGGGCGUAAAGGGCGCGUAGGCGGUGUGUCAAGUCAGGCGUGAAAGCCCCGGGCUCAACCUGGGAACCGCGCUUGAGACUGGCACGCUCGAGUUCGGGAGAGGAUGGUGGAAUUCCCAGUGUAGAGGUGAAAUUCGUAGAUAUUGGGAAGAACACCGAUGGCGAAGGCAGCUAUCUGGACCGACACUGACGCUGAGGCGCGAAAGCGUGGGGAGCAAACAGG
RNAcentral lists this ribosomal RNA (253 nucleotides) under uncultured bacterium. Its description in RNAcentral is "partial 16S ribosomal RNA". It matches the Rfam family "Bacterial small subunit ribosomal RNA", at positions 524 to 776 of the family's 1533-position model. The record is from RNAcentral.